This 405-nucleotide ribosomal RNA is filed under the name uncultured bacterium. RNAcentral describes it as "partial 16S ribosomal RNA". It matches the Rfam family "Bacterial small subunit ribosomal RNA", at positions 30 to 526 of the family's 1533-position model. The record is from RNAcentral.
AUUGAACGCUGGCGGCAGGCUUAACACAUGCAAGUCGAACGAGUGGCGGACGGGUGAGUAAUGCUUUGGAAUCUAGCUUAUGGAGGGGUCUAACUACGGUAAACUGUAGCUAAUACCGCGUACCAUAGGAUGAGCCCAAGUGGGAUUAGGUAGUUGGUGGGGUAAAGGCUCACCAAGCCGACGAUCCCUAGCUGGUCUGAGAGGAUUACCAGCCACAUGGGGACUGAGAAACGGCCCAGACUCCUACGGGAGGCAGCAGUGGGGAAUAUUUCGCAAUGGGGGCAACCUGACGCAGCAAUGCCGCGUGAGUGAAGAAGGCCUUCGGGUUGUAAAGUUCUGUCGGUAGAGAGGCGUUAACUACAGAAGAAGCAACGGCUAACUACGUGCCAGCAGCCGCGGUAAUAC